Long non-coding RNA from Raphanus sativus (radish), 1161 nucleotides. RefSeq lists it as uncharacterized. NCBI's taxonomy places the organism in Eukaryota, Viridiplantae, Streptophyta, Magnoliopsida, Brassicales, Brassicaceae. The record is from RefSeq and is a predicted model, not a curated record. The transcript has 5 exons.
UUUUUCUUUGAUGUGUGAACCGUAACUUCCGUCGUAUCAUCUCCCCUCAAUUCAUAUGACGGAGUAACUCAAAGUGAUCAUGAUGGAUAAUCAAUUCAUCCCACUAUCUCCCCUGCAAUUAAGAUUUCUCACUUUUCCUUUAAACCAAAACGACUAUAUAUAGAUGUCGAGAAGGUGCUCCAGACGAAUCGCAAAGGUUCUUUAAACCGUAGUAUAAACCCUAGAAACAGAGCUUCCACUGAUGACUAUUAACCAGCUUCAUUUUACAAUUUGAAGGCAAAACAUUAUAAGGAGACCGUUGUUAAAAGUCUUCUUCGUUUUUGGGAGAUAAGGACGUGAAGAAAGCGGGUAAGCUUCUGGGCUUUAACCUGGUUUCUCCUGAUGAGAAGACGACGUUGAUCCAAGGGUCUAUAGGAGUUCAUAGACUCAACACUUUCAAACAUCUGCUGAAGGAAGGGUAAAUCUAUGGGCUAAGCAUAUUCGAUGUUACGAGAAGAAACAGCCACUUCAAGCUCACCGACUCACGUGUUGCCAUACACUUCAACAACCAGACCAAGAUUGUGGAGCUGGCAGAGCCGAUCCCAACAUAAAAUUCCAGGCUUCCAAAAUAUGAAUAACUUAUGGUUUUGGCAAAUACAAACGUGAAUUUUCCGGAUGUUUUUGGUGAUGUUUGUGACAUCAAGACCACCUACAAGGAUGAGAAUCAUGCUAUUCAACGUGUUGUGGUUACAGUUCCUAUUGACAGUGAUCAAAACCAUUUAUAACGUAGCACCCAGAGCACUCAACGCUUCAUGGCUACCUUAAAGCUUGAUAGGCCGGCUAUUUCUUAGAUGGUGACAAGGCAAGUGCCACUGACCAGAACACUGGAAGUAAUGACCUCUCCAUGAACCCCACGGGUCCAUCUGCAGCAGAAGCAGCAAGUGAUGAACUCAAUUCUGGCAGGAUCAUUGCAGAGGAACGACAGCUUCCAGGAGCUGGUUGCCCACUCAAGAAGGCCCGCUCAAGAUUACUUACUCAAGUCAUCUACCUUAUAACCCUUCUAUUUCUUACAAGCUUAGUUCACAUUAUGAUUUUUUUACAUUACAUAAUUUUCUUUCAGUUUCUAUGAUUUCAGCUAAAUAACAACUGUGUUCUUCGAUUAUUAAACUCAUGUCUACAUUU